AAGUCACUAUUCAUCAUGUGAAACUUAUGACCAAAGACUGAAGUUCUCCAGAGGAGGCAGCAGUCAUUCAACAGUGCUGUUUUCCUGAGGAGAAUACAAA
RNAcentral lists this small nucleolar RNA (100 nucleotides) under Fukomys damarensis (Damara mole-rat). RNAcentral's name for it is "Small nucleolar RNA SNORA25 (ENSFDAG00000004772.1)". Lineage: Eukaryota; Metazoa; Chordata; Mammalia; Rodentia; Bathyergidae. The record is from RNAcentral.